RNAcentral lists this long non-coding RNA (763 nucleotides) under Homo sapiens (human). RNAcentral's name for it is "novel transcript". The record is from RNAcentral. Lineage: Eukaryota; Metazoa; Chordata; Mammalia; Primates; Hominidae.
AUAGCAUCCUACUAUUGUUUCUGCCUAAAAUAAGCAGCAAUAAGAAUGAGUGUGAGGAAGACCACAGCAGCAGGACCCACCUGUUUCUGAGGCCUAGGGAGAUGCAGUGAUAGAUUUCAGCUUAUUCCUCAUUCUCAGGUUUCUGUACCUUGACCCUCCAUAGAGUGAACUUCUAGGUUCUGAGCUGACUCCUUGGAAACCCUAGACUCCAGGGACGCGCUUCUAGAACCUGCUCAGAUUGCUACUCAGUUAACAGCCUGGCCCAGGAGGAUUGCAACACCCAGCCUGGCUCCCAGGCAAGCUAAAGAGGGCUUGAUGAUGGGAAGAGGUUAAGGGGUACGUGGAGAGAAAGAAGGAUCAGAAGGCGGAAACAUCAUAGACCUCCUGGGAUGCCUUCUGCAGGAUCACAGAGAAGGCAAAAUUUGUCCUCCUGACUACAAGAUGCCAAGAUACAUUUGUAUCGAGCCACUGAAUUCUCUACCCCUUCUGUAGAGGUGGUUGGGGAAGAGCUGCAGUAGGAAGCUGGGUCCCAAGUAAUGAAGGACCUUUAGAAGCAGAAGGUGUUAGGGUGGGGGCAAAGGACUGAACUCUGACCAACCAGAAGAAAGGAAAAACUGGAGUUCCUUUCCCCUAGGCUCCAGCCCUCACCAGCAGGGACUCAACAAACGCCAUCUGUCAGAUGAGUCAUGGGACCAGAAGCUUGGGAGAAGACAUGCAGAGCCAACCACUAACAAAACUGGCAAAUGAAAUAAAUGCCCAGAAA